Molecule: transfer RNA, 74 nt
Filed under: Aureispira anguillae
Lineage: Bacteria; Pseudomonadati; Bacteroidota; Saprospiria; Saprospirales; Saprospiraceae
Rfam family: tRNA
About the family: Transfer RNA (tRNA) molecules are approximately 80 nucleotides in length. Their secondary structure includes four short double-helical elements and three loops (D, anti-codon, and T loops).
Source: Rfam by way of RNAcentral
ACCUUCAUAGCCCAACUGGUAGAGGCGGUAGGUUUAGAACCUAUUUAGUGUGAGUUCGAAUCUCACUGAAGGUA